This 720-nucleotide ribosomal RNA is filed under the name uncultured bacterium. RNAcentral describes it as "bacterial SSU rRNA". It matches the Rfam family "Bacterial small subunit ribosomal RNA", at positions 51 to 760 of the family's 1533-position model. The record is from RNAcentral.
ACACAUGCAGUCGAGCGGUACAGGCGUAGCAAUACGUGACUGAGACGAGCGGCGAACGGGUGAGUAAUGCUUCGGAAUCUGCCUGGUAGUGGGGAAUAACCAGUCGAAAGACUGGCUAAUGCCGCAUACGACCCUUUUUCGAAUUGGAAUUGGGUGAAAGCGGGGGAUCGCAAGACUCGCGCUAAUAGAUGAGCCGAAGUCGGAUUAGCUAGUUGGUGAGGUAAUGGCUCACCAAGGCUUCGAUCAGUAUCCGGUCUGAGAGGACGGUCGGACACACUGGAACUGAGACACGGUCCAGACUCCUACGGGAGGCAGCAGUGGGGAAUUUUUGGCAAUGGGGGAAACCCUGACCAAGCAACGCCGCGUGGAUGAUGAAGUCUCUUGGGACGUAAAAUCCUUUCGACGGGGAAGAAAGCCGCAAGGCUUGACGGUACCCGUAGAAGAAGCCCCGGCUAACUCCGUGCCAGCAGCCGCGGUAAUACGGGGGGGGCGAGCGUUGUUCGGAAUUACUGGGCGUAAAGGGCGCGUAGGCGGUUUGUUAAGUUGGAUGUGAAAACUUUGGGCUUAACCCAGAGCCUGAUCCAAAAUUAGCAGACUAGAGUUCUGGAGGGGGUAGCGGAAUUCCUGGUGUAGCGGUGAAAUGCGUAGAUAUUCAGGGAAGGAACACCGGUGGGAAGGGAGGUACCGUGGAACAGAAAGUGAAGCUGAAGGCGCGGAAAG